Acinonyx jubatus (cheetah) is the source of this 1614-nucleotide long non-coding RNA. RefSeq lists it as uncharacterized. The record is from RefSeq and is a predicted model, not a curated record. The transcript has 3 exons. NCBI's taxonomy places the organism in Eukaryota, Metazoa, Chordata, Mammalia, Carnivora, Felidae.
UGACCAGGAAACACCCGCUUCCUGACAAGAGUAACCUGCAAGGGGCUCUUCAGAAGCUCCUGGGAACCCAGAAAGGCCAGUCAGUCCUCAGCACAGGGCAGGCCUUCCUUUUCUUCCCACAAGAGCCCCACAGAUCAUCUUGCUAGGAGAAUCCCCAAAUCGGUUGGGUUUAAUUGUAUUAGGAUCACCCAAGGUUUUUAAAAAUACAGAUUCUUGGGCCCUCUUGUGGAGAUCAGCAGGCUUGGGGCAGGGCCCAGGAAUCUGCUAAAACCUCCCUAGGUAAUUCUGAUUCUCGCCAGGUGUGGAAACCACUAAAGGCCCUGGCUGUCCUUGUUACAAACGAGGAAACCGAAACCUGCAGGAACUGAGCCCACCCAAAGGGUCAGAGCCAGUAACGGGAGAGGAAGCGGUCUGGAGCAGGAGGGGUAGGUGGAAGGAGAUACGGAGGGAAGCUCCCUCAGUGCAAGCGUCAGAGGGGAGGCCUCAGGGAGGCCGUGUGUCCUGGGCCUUUCUCUCCUCCCCUUCAAGCCAGAACAUGCAAUUGUCCGAUACUGGAUUGUGAUUUAGGACCGAGCCUCUCUCGACAAGCUAUCCCCUGUGGCACAAGGCAGAGGUAGCGGGGUUGGGCCGUCUGGUUCCCAGAGUGUACAGAAGGGUGGCGGCCCAGGCAGAUGAUCUGCGCUGAAAGAAACUAUCCUCCUUCGGAAGGAAACCAAAAGGGUCGCCAUGGCAACCUGCAGUGCGCUGGCCUGGUUGGGCUCUGUGCCAUCCUCCCAAACUUGGGCCCAGGAGAGGUGCAGCAGUAUUCAGGCAAAUGCCGGAGGGGCAGGGGCGCCCCAUCCCCCUCGCCGGUCCCAGAACCCACAGGGAGGCCGGGCUGUACCCCGGAGCCGACCUCGGAGCCCGCCUGGAACACACCCAGACACCGGUAAUCCGGGAGCACGGGAGUUCUGAGCACCUGCAGUAGCUGGGCCGGGGGAGCACACUGCGGAGGUGGGGGAGACAGGCCUCCGCCCUUCUGUUACUCAGCCUAAUUGUGUGCCCAAGACCCACCGCUCAUGGAACCACAGCCCUCAUGCAAGACAGCAUGCAAUUAGCUGGGAGAAGAAUCCAAGGAUCGGAGAGUACAGUGCCUAACAAGCAAUGGAGUACUCUUCCCGAGGGAUUCUGGCAGGUAGCGACUUUGAUAGACUCUUAGAAGAGGUGUCUUAAAGGAACACAGAUGCACAAAGAGGCAUGACCAAGGAUGUUCGCUGCUGCAACGCGUAUGUAGUAAGAUACUAUAAACAACACAAAUGCCCGCCACUCAGAAAACGGUUGAGUAAAAUCGUGGCAAUCCAUAUGCUGGGAUAGAACAGUGAUUACGUGGCGAGAUUGUUGAGACUUAUUGUAAGUGAAAAACCAAGCUGUAAAACAAAACUACAAUGUGGUUCCAUCUAUGUAAAAAAGGAAGAGAAACAAAAGCAACUGUGAAGUAAAAUUAUAUAUUUAUACACACAGAGAUGGAUAGAAAAAAUCAUGUCGUAUAUACACCAAACUCACAACACCAAGCACCUCUGCUGGAGGAAUUAGAAUCACGGGGGAGGGAUGAGUUUUUCGCGACAAGAAUGCAUU